Molecule: long non-coding RNA, 349 nt
Organism: Telopea speciosissima
Lineage: Eukaryota; Viridiplantae; Streptophyta; Magnoliopsida; Proteales; Proteaceae
Exons: 3
Source: RefSeq, a predicted model, not a curated record
GCUCUGAUACCAAAUUGAUGAACAGCCAUCAUUAAACAGUUGCCCCCCCAAAAUCUGACCCUCUCCUGAUGACUGAAAUCUAAACUUAAAUAUUGAUAAAAAUCUUCCAAAUUCAACAUAACAUUCUCCCAACAAACAUACAAUGAGAACCCUUUAACAUCUCUAAAACUCCCAACCCACACCAAAUCUGGCCCCAACAACUUUAUUCAACAUAGCCGAAGAUUUCCGACUAAACAUCCAAAUCCACUUACAUAGUAAGCUUUCUUUAUCACAUUAACAAGUCUAACACCACAAACCCACCCACCUAGCCCCCCCCCCCCCCCAAACAGAAUUUCCAAGGCCUAUAAGC